UGCCAACCAUCUCAGCUAUCAACUGCACAUCAUUCAUCAACACCAAAUUUCCAUUUGAAUUCAAUUCAAAAGCAAAACUUUCAGUCUUUAAUGGCUAAAUAAAGCUUCAUAUACCCUUCAAAAAACUAUUCAAUUUUUCAUCAAGAGGACAUACAAUUGGCCAGAUACAAUCGGUGGCAAGCAAGAAAUCAAAUUUUAUGAAAUGGGUUUGAUUCAAAAGGCUUUUUUUG
This 230-nucleotide unclassified non-coding RNA is filed under the name Hevea brasiliensis (rubber tree). The record is from RNAcentral. Lineage: Eukaryota; Viridiplantae; Streptophyta; Magnoliopsida; Malpighiales; Euphorbiaceae.